AAGCACCGUGCACAACCCUAUUUAGAAACCCCGGGGCCCCUUUGCAUCCGUAUUGCGUUUUUAAUUCAAGGAGGACACGUCUCAGAAGUCAGGAUGCUGAGCAACACGCUUUCCUGUCUGCACAAAACAGUCUCUAGGACUAUUAUUGCUCUUGGGAUGCGGUGCUUUCAUGCAAAAAAGGUUUCAUUGUAGUUAGCAAGGACUGAGUAUGCAGACUGAAAAAAAAAUCCUUUUAAUGCAAAGCCUUUGCACUUGUUAACUUCCCCGGAAAUGAAUGCACCUCAGGCAAGUAUAGGGACGCUGGAACCAGGCUGAGACACUGCAGCCCCAACCUUGCUUCCUGGAGGAAGCUGAUCUCGCGAGAUCUUUCGAAGUCUCGCAGGUGUUCAGGGCAUCAUCUCGCGGUGUUUCGUGGGGUCUCGCGGGAUGCUGGGGGCUAUAGGGAUGUCUGCGGAGGCCCGGAGAAGCAUCCUGGGCAGAGAGAGGCUGGAAGCUGGGGGACCAGAGUCUUUUGGUGCCCCUACCGGCUCCUGCCACCUCUCCCGCCGACCGUCUUCCUCGUGAUGCCCACGCCCGCCUCUAGUCCCAGCUGCCCGGCCAGGCUCUGGGCCGGAGACAGUGCCAAGGCCACACCUGGGGUUGCUCUGUGCAAACGGGGGCCACACAUUUAGCCUGAAAGGCGGGGGCGGCCCCGAGGGCUUCCGAGCAGGGACGCUGGGACUCCAGUUCCACUUCUACCGACGUCCCAGACCGCAGCACCAAGGACGGGCAGCUGCCAGGUGUGGGGAGUUCAAGGAGAGCAGCUGUACCUGGUCCCCAAGCCUCUGCCCUGGAGCACAGCUUCGAAGCAUUUCGGUAAUUACCUCCCCCGGAGGGAAAUAGAAUUCCUCCAGCGUUUUGCUUUUGCACAGAGACUUGAUACCUAAUAGGUGGAGACCAGCUUGGAAGCAUUUGGGACAUUCCCUGCCCAGUCAUCCUGGCAACUGUGAAAAGUGCACUAGAACGCCUCUUGAAGCUUCGCCCAGGGACAGAUGGCCGAUUGUCUGAUGGACCUGUGACCCUGGACCUCUGGCCGUGAGGUCAGGGCGGAAGUCUUCCGUGGAAGAGGGGUCCUCACGCCUGAAUCCCUGUGGCCCUGACAGAUCAGCGUGGACUUGGCUUCUGUCCGUGACCAUUCUCAGGAGAUUGAAACACGGCCAGGCACUGACCCGGUCCAUAUUCCAAGUCCCACAGGCAGCGCUGUUUUCUUUCAGCAUCAGGGGAAGAGUAUCAGGGUUCUUGUGUAACGCUAGCCCCUGAACUUUCACCAUGUCUUUGUGAAUUUGGAUCAAAAUCUGUCUCAGCCGAUGCUCAAUACAGCUAACAGGGUCAGGUGUUCAGGUUCACAGCAGCACUAUGUACAAUAGUCAAGACAUGGAAACAACCUAAAUGUCCAUCAACAGAGGAGCGGGUUAAGAAGAUGUGUUAGAUACACACGAAGGAAUACGACUCAGCUGUAAAACACUGGCAGCAACGCGAGUGCAACUAGAGAUUCUCAUGCUGAGUGGGAACUCAAAGAGAAAGACAGAUGCCAUAUGAUAUCCCUUAUACUAUGUGGCGUCUAAAAUAUGGCACAAAUGAACCUAUCUGCAAAACAGAAGCAGGCUCACAGACAUGGAGAACAGACUUGUGGGUGCCAAGGGGGAGGGAGUGGGGAUAAGGGGUGGAGGAGCAAAGCCUAGGGAGUUCAGGAUUAGCAGAGGCAAACUCUGAUAUAUAGGAUGGAUAAAUAGCAAACUCCUACUUCAUAGAACCGGGGACUGUAUUUAAUAUCCUGUGAAAAGGUGUAAUGAAAAAGCAUAUGAAAAAGGACAUAUGUAUAUGUGUGUGUCUGAAUCACUGCUGUACAGCAGAAAUGAACACAGCAUUGUAAAUCAACUAUACUUCAAUAUAAUACAUUUAAAAAACGAAGUGGCACAAAUUCAGGCAUGAAAAAAUUAAUGUCAAUGCCUGAUUCAUAUAUGCAUAUAUGUGAAGCAUGGCAUGCAGCUGUAUUUACAUUUUAUCUUUGUAUAUGUACAGAAUUGUAUUUAGUAAGAUUAGCUGUGAUGCAAUCCUCAUUCUCUUUUCAUAUUAACAUUCCAUCUAUUUCAGUGAUUGGCCACCAAAACCUCAUGUAGGGUUGAGAGUUCCAGAAAGUGAAGGCAGUGGUCUGGCCAGUGAUGAUGUGGGCACCUAAACAUCCUAGAUUCCCAACCACCAGCAACAAAGACGUGUUUUCUGGGUCGGAGAUCUCAAAGGAGAGAGAAUACACUUUUCAUGAGUGCUUGGUAUACAAGUUCCGCAUUUGUCCCCAGAGAUACCACCUUCCUUAGAGUGUUUACUCAACUCCUAUUGAGUAGUAUGACUUGCACAAUAUUUUAUUUUGAAUGGAAUAUCCUGGAAACCAAAGUAGGUAGAGUCAGGUUUCAGUAUAGGGCCUUUGAUGUUUUUAAUUUGGAAAAUUUUAAGUUGUACACUGCUACUGUAUUUCUUUUUAAAAAACUAUGUGUGUACCAUUAAAAAAAAUUUUUUUAAGAUGAAA
RNAcentral lists this long non-coding RNA (2563 nucleotides) under Sus scrofa (pig). RNAcentral's name for it is "lncRNA (ENSSSCG00060056712.1)". Lineage: Eukaryota; Metazoa; Chordata; Mammalia; Artiodactyla; Suidae. The record is from RNAcentral.